Molecule: long non-coding RNA, 509 nt
Organism: Adelges cooleyi (spruce gall adelgid)
Lineage: Eukaryota; Metazoa; Arthropoda; Insecta; Hemiptera; Adelgidae
Exons: 3
Source: RefSeq, a predicted model, not a curated record
UCUGAGAAACUUAUAAAUGUGUAGUUUUGUGUUUAACCAUAUUGGUAUCUGAAUACAAAGAAAAAAUAUAAAAAUUUUUAUGAAAAAAUUGAAUCUUCAAUCAUCAUUUACUGAAUCAAUAAUAGUAUGUUCAAUAUUAAUAUAGGCUAUCUCAACUUAAAUUGAUAUUUGUUAUUGUCUACAACUACACUACUACCAACGUUAAAUUUGGUGAAUUAUAUUAUUGUAGUCAAUCAGUCUAAACCAAUUCCAUCAAUACAUUGUCGAAUGUUGUGGUAUUCAAUUUUCAGUAAAUUUAUAGGUGUUUUAUUUUAAGUUACUGUGGCACACUAUUGCAGAUAACGGUUUUCCAUUAAGUCAGUAAGAAGAAUAAGAUGGAUUCACAAGUUCAAAUCAAAUAUUAGACAACUAUAUAUAUUUAGUUAUUCAGCUAAAAAUGUAAUUCAAUAAAAUAAUUUAAAAGUACUUUAUCAUUUUAAAAGUUACAUAAAGUUUUUAAACUCUAAGUA